This 226-nucleotide unclassified non-coding RNA is filed under the name Mucoromycotina sp. RNAcentral describes it as "partial contains small subunit ribosomal RNA, internal transcribed spacer 1, and 5.8S ribosomal RNA". The stretch from base 1 to 47 matches the Rfam family "Eukaryotic small subunit ribosomal RNA", at positions 1785 to 1831 of the family's 1831-position model. Lineage: Eukaryota; Fungi; Mucoromycota. The record is from RNAcentral.
AAAGUCGUAACAAGGUUUCCGUAGGUGAACCUGCGGAAGGAUCAUUCAUAAUAAGUGUUAAUGGCACUUUUAUCCAUUACCCACCUUGUGUGCAAUGUCGAGGAGAGGAUUGCCAUUUUUGGCGAUUCUCUUUUCAUAUACAUACAUGUUUUCAGUAUCAGUCUACAUCUAUUUAGAGAAUAAAAAACUCGAAAUACAACUUUCAACAACGGAUCUCUUGGCUCUC